This 460-nucleotide ribosomal RNA is filed under the name uncultured bacterium. RNAcentral describes it as "partial 16S ribosomal RNA". It matches the Rfam family "Bacterial small subunit ribosomal RNA", at positions 338 to 795 of the family's 1533-position model. The record is from RNAcentral.
CCUACGGGAGGCUGCAGUGAGGAAUAUUGGUCAAUGGACGAGAGUCUGAACCAGCCAAGUAGCGUGAAGGAUGACUGCCCUAUGGGUUGUAAACUUCUUUUAUAUGGGAAUAAAAUGUUCCACGUGUGGGAUUUUGUAUGUACCAUAUGAAUAAGGAUCGGCUACCUCCGUGCCAGCAGCCGCGGUAAUACGGAGGAUCCGAGCGUUAUCCGGAUUUAUUGGGUUUAAAGGGAGCGUAGGUGGAUUGUUAAGUCAGCUGUGAAAGUUUGCGGCUCAACCGUAAAAUUGCAGUUGAAACUGGCAGUCUUGAGUACAGUAGAGGUGGGCGGAAUUCGUGGUGUAGCGGUGAAAUGCUUAGAUAUCACGCAGAACUCCGAUUGCGAAGGCAGUUCACUGGACUGCAACUGACACUGAGGCUCGAAAGUGUGGGUAUCAAACAGGAUUAGAUACCCUUGUAGUC